RNAcentral lists this ribosomal RNA (441 nucleotides) under uncultured bacterium. RNAcentral describes it as "partial 16S ribosomal RNA". It matches the Rfam family "Bacterial small subunit ribosomal RNA", at positions 338 to 795 of the family's 1533-position model. The record is from RNAcentral.
CCUACGGGUGGCAGCAGUGGGGAAUAUUGCACAAUGGGGGAAACCCUGAUGCAGCAACGCCGCGUGAGUGAGGAAGUAUUUCGGUAUGUAAAGCUCUAUCAGCAGGGAAUAGAAAAGAAGGUACCUGAAAAAGAAGCACAGGCUAACUACGUGCCAGCAGCAUCGGUAAUACGUAGGGGGCAAGCGUUAUCCGGAUUUACUGGGUGUAAAGGGCGUGUAGCCGGGUUGACAAGUCAGAUGUGAAAUCCUGCGGCUUAACCGAAGAACUGCGUUUGAAACUGUUGAUAUUGAGUACUGGAGAGGCAGACGGAAUUCCGAGUGUAGCGGUGAAAUGCGUUGAUAUUAGGAGGAACACCAGUGGCGAAGGCGGUCUGCUGGACAGCAACUGCCGGUGAGGCGCGAAAGCGUGGGGAGCAAACAGGAUUAGAUACCCCUGUAGUC